This 175-nucleotide ribosomal RNA is filed under the name uncultured bacterium. RNAcentral's name for it is "partial 16S ribosomal RNA". It matches the Rfam family "Bacterial small subunit ribosomal RNA", at positions 335 to 526 of the family's 1533-position model. The record is from RNAcentral.
AUUCCUACGGGAGGCAGCAGUGGGGAAUUUUUCGCAAUGGGGGAAACCCUGACGCAGCAACGCCGCGUGGAGGAUGAAGUCCUUCGGGACGUAAACUCCUUUCGAUCGGGACGAUUAUGACGGUACCGGAAGAAGAAGCCCCGGCUAACUUCGUGCCAGCAGCCGCGGUAAUAAU